UGGGGAAUAUUGCACAAUGGGCGAAAGCCUGAUGCAGCAACGCCGCGUGAGUGAUGAAGGCCUUCGGGUUGUAAAAGCUCUGUCUUUUGGGACGAUAAUGACGGUACCAAAGGAGGAAGCCACGGCUAACUACGUGCCAGCAGCCGCGGUAAUACGUAGGUGGCAAGCGUUGUCCGGAUUUACGGGCGUAAAGGAUGCGUAGGCGGAUUUUUAAGUGAGAUGUGAAAACCCUAAGCUUAACUUGGGGACUGCAUUUCAUACUGGAAAUCUAGAGUGCGGGAGAGGAGAAUGGAAUUCCUAGUGUAGCGGUGAAAUGCGUAGAGAUUAGGAAGAACACCAGUGGCGAAGGCGAUUCUCUGGACCGUAACUGACGCUGAGGCAUGAAAGCGUGGGUAGCAAACAGGAUUAGAUACCCUGGUAGUCCACGCCGUAAACGAUGAGUACUAGGUGUAGGAGGUAUCGACCCCUUCUGUGCCGCAGUUAACACAAUAAGUACUCCGCCUGGGAAGUACGAUCGCAAGAUUAAAACUUAAAUGAAUUGACGGGGUCAUAGCUG
Molecule: ribosomal RNA, 556 nt
Filed under: uncultured bacterium
Lineage: Bacteria
Description: partial 16S ribosomal RNA
Rfam family: Bacterial small subunit ribosomal RNA
Source: RNAcentral